This is an RNA transcript of Eupeodes corollae, 1916 nucleotides long. It is a transcript of the gene named ER lumen protein-retaining receptor-like, with no coding region annotated. The record is from RefSeq and is a predicted model, not a curated record. The transcript is spliced from 3 exons. Lineage: Eukaryota; Metazoa; Arthropoda; Insecta; Diptera; Syrphidae.
AUUUACAGCUCCAAAGUAACAGCCUAAAACGAAAACUUUUAACAAUAAACUUUAAUAACUUUUUAUGCUCAUCUGAGAUUUUUGGACACUUUUUAUCACUUGUUAAUAAUGAUGAUCUCAGGCUCUGUACCAAUUUUCUUCAAUUUCACGAGUUUUAUGUCUUUUCUGAAUGGGGACUAUUUAGUUCAGUUCGUAAAAUGCAAACAUUGAAAUUGAUUCAUUUUGUGUUUUUCCCCCAUCGAUCGAUGGAAAUGAUCACGGCCAACAACAACAACAAUACGUUUUUGCAUUGCUUUUAUAGACAACUAAACGCAAAGUUGGUUUUAUUGCUUUAGUGUUUAGUCAUAUCAUUUCAUAUACAUUAAUUUAGGCAGACAAAAUACAGAUACAGAACAAAGAUUCUCCCUCCGGCCUUCGAAUAGUGAACAUUUUAGUAUUAUUACUGAUAACUUUAUUUAGCUAAAACAUAUUUGGGAAUCAGACAAAAACAAAUACCAACUCUCGCUACAUCAUGGUGAAUGGUUUGCAAUUAAUUGCGGACAUGCUGCAUUUGGUAGCAAUAAUUAUUUUGCUGCUGAGAAUCUGUGUGAAAACGUCAUGUGCGGAUGUGUCUAUCAAAUCGCAAAUUCUCUUCUGUAUCGUCUAUUGUGCCCGAUAUAUGGACUUGUUCACGGUUUACAUUUCGACCUACAACUCGGCGAUGAAAAUUGGUUACAUUGGAGUUUCCCUAUUGACAAUUUUAUUGAUUCAUCUUAAAUCUAGGAACAACAACGAAAACGCCAGCCAUCAUGAUUCUUUUCGCAUUGAAUUUCUUGUGGUUCCAUGUGCCUUGUUGGCACUGUUCGUGAAUCAUGAAUUCACUUGCUUGGAGGUUUUGUGGACAUUCUCGAUCUAUUUGGAAGCUGUGGCAAUUUUACCACAAUUCUUUUUAAUAUGCAAAAUUGGCAAAGCCGAACGCCUAACCGUAUGUUAUCUUGUCGUGCUUUGGUUGUAUCGAGUAUUUUAUCUGACCAAGUGGGGUGUUAAAUAUGUCAACGAGGGAUCUUUUGAUUUUGUUUCUGUCCUCGGUGGUAUUGUUCAGACUUCAAUUUAUAUUGCAUUUUUGUUUUAUUUUAUUAUCAACAUUUCGAGGGGAAAGAAUCUUGCUAGCAACUUAAUCAAUUCUCCUUUAACAUUGAGCAGUGAAGAUAAUCUUAAAGAGAAAGCAACAUCGGCAUCUGUAUAUUGUAUUCCAAUUAUACCAGAUCAUUCGAUAUCUCAUAACAUUGAUAUCAAAAAAGUUUUAAAGCAGUAAUUUGUUCGACAUAUAAAUGUUAAAUCUCUUGUUGAAUGGGCUAACCUGGAUAUGUGGAUUUUUAAUUGGAUACCUAAAUUGGGAUAGUUGGCAAAACAGUAAAAACAAGUUUCAGCUGUUGACAAACAUUAACAUUGAUUUCGAAGUCCAAAAUAUUUUAGAACAAAACGGAUGAUUCACCGGAUUUUUACCAAAAAACAUACAAAUUUGAAAUAAAUUUUGAAGUUCCUUCGCACAUUCAACCAUUAUGUUGUAUCAGCGGUUCUGUCAGAUACUAACAUGUACCAGAAAUUAUUGUAUAGACUUGGAUUCCUCUUUUGACAUACGAGCUGUCUGAUAAACGCAAAAAAACAAAAACCAAAAGAUAACCGGAUACCCUAUCUAUUUGAAAUUGAACGCAGCCGAUGAUACAUGACAAAUUUAGUUAGUUUAGAUAGAUAGAUACUUUAUUUUUUCAUAGAUUAAGGCUUUACAAAAAUUUGCGUAGUACGCAGCUUGCACAGAGAUAUGACAAAUUUAAAUUUAUCCACAUACACCCUUGUUUUUAUAACUAUUUUGUAUCUAUGUAUGUAUGUACAUAUAUUUUUUUUUAAUUUUUAUUAAAUAUUUGUACAAUUGUAAA